Molecule: long non-coding RNA, 266 nt
Filed under: Phoenix dactylifera (date palm)
Lineage: Eukaryota; Viridiplantae; Streptophyta; Magnoliopsida; Arecales; Arecaceae
Description: long non-coding RNA (PDAC_LNC004995)
Source: RNAcentral
CCUUUGGAUUUUUACCCCUUUUUUAUCUUUGAAAUUCUAUUAAAUAGACAUCACAUAAAAUUUUUCAUACUUUUUAGUUUUGAUGUAAUAUCUUAAUUUACAAAUUAAUAUAUCCUUUUUUUAAUUCUCUAGCACAGGGCAGAUACUAGUUUUCUAAUAUUCACACAGCUUAGGCUUGUUCCACUCUUCAAGCAGAAAUUAUAUAGAUCCAUGUGAGUAAUGAGAUGAAUAAGUGGACGGCUCGAUGCAAAAUUUCACCGGGUUGC